RNAcentral lists this ribosomal RNA (484 nucleotides) under uncultured bacterium. Its description in RNAcentral is "partial 16S ribosomal RNA". It matches the Rfam family "Bacterial small subunit ribosomal RNA", at positions 30 to 507 of the family's 1533-position model. The record is from RNAcentral.
AUUGAACGCUGGCGGCAGGCCUAACACAUGCAAGUCGAGCGGAUGAAGGGAGCUUGCUCCUGGAUUCAGCGGCGGACGGGUGAGUAAUGCCUAGGAAUCUGCCUGGUAGUGGGGGAUAACGUCCGGAAACGGGCGCUAAUACCGCAUACGUCCUGAGGGAGAAAGUGGGGGAUCUUCGGACCUCACGCUAUCAGAUGAGCCUAGGUCGGAUUAGCUAGUUGGUGGGGUAAAGGACUACCAAGGCGACGAUCCGUAACUGGUCUGAGAGGAUGAUCAGUCACACUGGAACUGAGACACGGUCCAGACUCCUACGGGAGGCAGCAGUGGGGAAUAUUGGACAAUGGGCGAAAGCCUGAUCCAGCCAUGCCGCGUGUGUGAAGAAGGUCUUCGGAUUGUAAAGCACUUUAAGUCGGGAGGAAGGGCAGUAAGUUAAUACCUUGCUGUUUUGACGUUACCAACAGAAUAAGCACCGGCUAACUUCGUG